RNAcentral lists this ribosomal RNA (253 nucleotides) under uncultured bacterium. Its description in RNAcentral is "partial 16S ribosomal RNA". It matches the Rfam family "Bacterial small subunit ribosomal RNA", at positions 524 to 776 of the family's 1533-position model. The record is from RNAcentral.
UACGUAGGGGGCAAGCGUUGUCCGGAAUCAUUGGGCGUAAAGAGCGUGUAGGCGGCUUGGCAAGUCUGACGUGAAAGCCCGCGGCUCAACCGCGGAUUGUCGUUGGAAACUGCCUCGCUAGAGUCCGGAAGAGGAGAGCGGAAUUCCUGGUGUAGCGGUGGAAUGCGCAGAUAUCAGGAAGAACACCCGUGGCGAAGGCGGCUCUCUGGGACGGUACUGACGCUGAGGAGCGAGAGCGUGGGGAGCGAACAGG